AUCUAUGGCCAACCCACACUGAACACACCAGAUCUGGUCCAAUCUUGGAAGCUAAGCAAGGUCAGGCCUGGCUACACUUUGAAUGGGAGGCUGCAGAGC
This is a ribosomal RNA of Aotus nancymaae (Ma's night monkey), 99 nucleotides long. The record is from Ensembl. Lineage: Eukaryota; Metazoa; Chordata; Mammalia; Primates; Aotidae.